UCGAGGAUCUUCGGCAAUGGGCGCAAGCCUGACCGAGCGACGCCGCGUGCGGGAUGAAGGCCUUCGGGUUGUAAACCGCCGUCAGAGGGGAGGAAAUGCCAAGGGGUUCUCUUCUUGGUUUGACCUAUCCUCAGAGGAAGUACGGGCUAAGUUCGUGCCAGCAGCCGCGGUAAGACGAACCGUACAAACGUUAUUCGGAAUCACUGGGCUUAAAGGGUGCGUAGGCGGCCCGGAAAGUUGGGUGUGAAAUACCUCGGCUCAACCGAGGAACGGCACUCAAAACUACCGGGCUUGAGGAAGACAGAGGUGAGCGGAACUACGGGUGGAGCGGUGAAAUGCGUUGAUAUCCGUAGGAACACCGGUAGCGAAAGCGGCUCACUGGGUCUUAUCUGACGCUGAGUGCACGAAAGCUAGGGGAGCGAACG
RNAcentral lists this ribosomal RNA (425 nucleotides) under uncultured prokaryote. Its description in RNAcentral is "bacterial SSU rRNA". It matches the Rfam family "Bacterial small subunit ribosomal RNA", at positions 355 to 774 of the family's 1533-position model. The record is from RNAcentral.